UACGUAGGGGGCAAGCGUUGUCCGGAGUUACUGGGCGUAAAGCGCCCGCAGGCGGUCGUCUAAGUUCAGACUGACAAUCCCCAGCUUAACUGGGGAGGGUGUAUGAAAACUGGGAGACUUGAGGGAUAGAGAGGGACAAGGAAUUCCGGGUGGAGUGGUGAAAUGCGUAGAUAUCCGGAGGAACACCAAAGGCGAAGGCAUUGUCCUGGCUAUUUCCUGACGCUGAGGGGCGAAAGCUAGGGGAGCGAACGGG
RNAcentral lists this ribosomal RNA (253 nucleotides) under uncultured bacterium. RNAcentral describes it as "partial 16S ribosomal RNA". It matches the Rfam family "Bacterial small subunit ribosomal RNA", at positions 524 to 776 of the family's 1533-position model. The record is from RNAcentral.